RNAcentral lists this ribosomal RNA (422 nucleotides) under uncultured bacterium. RNAcentral describes it as "bacterial SSU rRNA". It matches the Rfam family "Bacterial small subunit ribosomal RNA", at positions 355 to 787 of the family's 1533-position model. The record is from RNAcentral.
UGGGGAAUAUUGGACAAUGGGCGAAAGCCUGAUCCAGCAACGCCGCGUGAGGGAUGACGGCCUUCGGGUUGUAAACCUCUUUCGCUAGGGACGAAGCCGUGAGGUGACGGUACCUGGAUAAGAAGCACCGGCUAACUACGUGCCAGCAGCCGCGGUAAUACGUAGGGUGCGAGCGUUGUCCGGAAUUAUUGGGCGUAAAGAGCUCGUAGGCGGUCUGUCGCGUCUGGUGUGAAAAUCCAGGGCUUAACCCUGGACCUGCAUCGGGUACGGGCAGACUAGAGUGCGGUAGGGGAGAUCGGAAUUCCUGGUGUAGCGGUGAAAUGCGCAGAUAUCAGGAGGAACACCGGUGGCGAAGGCGGAUCUCUGGGCCGUAACUGACGCUGAGGAGCGAAAGCAUGGGGAGCGAACAGGAUUAGAUACCC